ACGGCUCAGUAACACGUCGAUAAUCUGCCCUAAGAUUGGGGAUAACCUCGGGAAACUGAGGGUAAAACCUGAUAGGGGAAAGAAACUGGAAUGUUCUUUCCUUAAAAAGCAAUGUCUUAGGAUGAGUCGGCGGCCGAUUAGGUAGUUGGCGAGGUAACGGCUCACCAAGCCGAAGAUCGGUAAGGGCCUUGAAAGAGGUAACCCUGAGAGGGGCACUGAGACACUGGCCCCAGCCCUACGGGGUGCAGCAGGCGCGAAAACUUUACAAUGCACGAAAGUGUGAUAAGGGAACCCCAAGUGCUAAUACAUUAGUAUUGGCUUUUGCCAAGAGCAAAUAUCUUGGCGAAUAAGUGGUGGGCAAGACUGGUGCCAGCCGCCGCGGUAACACCAGCGCCACGAGUGGGAAUCGCAUAUUUGGUCUAAAGCGUCCGUAGCUGGUUAUGUAAAUCUUUUGUGAAAUCGUUGUGGCUUAACCCAACGAAGUGCAGAAGACACUGCAUGUCUUGGGACCAGGAGGGGUUAGAAGUAUUCUUGGGGGAGCGGUAAAAUGUUAUAAUCCUAAGAAGACUACCUGUGGCGAAGGCGUCUAACCAGAAUGGAUCCGACAGUGAGGGACGAAGGCAAGGGGAGCAAACCGGAUUAGAUACCCGAGUAGUCCUUGCCGUAAACGCUACGAGCUAGGUGUUGCAUAUUCUUUGAGAAUAUGCAGUGUCGAAAUGAAGGUGUUAAGCUCGUCACCUGGGAAGUAUGGUCGCAAGACUGAAACUUAAAGGAAUUGGCGGGGGAGCAC
RNAcentral lists this ribosomal RNA (790 nucleotides) under uncultured archaeon. RNAcentral describes it as "bacterial SSU rRNA". It matches the Rfam family "Archaeal small subunit ribosomal RNA", at positions 85 to 879 of the family's 1478-position model. The record is from RNAcentral.